Molecule: non-coding RNA, 22 nt
Filed under: Mus musculus (house mouse)
Lineage: Eukaryota; Metazoa; Chordata; Mammalia; Rodentia; Muridae
Source: RNAcentral
UAAGUCAGCAGCUGGGUGAGGU